GACGAACGCUGGCGGCGUGCCUAACACAUGCAAGUCGAGCGGUAUAGUGACUUCGGUUGCUAGAGAGCGGCGCACGGGUGAGUAACGCGUACAUGACCUACCUCUAAGAUCGGGAUAGCCCUGGGAAACUGGGAUUAAUACCGGAUGUGAUAAUAAGUAUAAGGAUUUAUUAUUAAAGUUGAGGCGCUUAGAGAUGGGUGUGCGUCUGAUUAGCUAGUUGGUAGGGUAAGGGCCUACCAAGGCGACGAUCAGUAGGGGGCGUGAGAGCGUGAUCCCCCACACGGGUACUGAGACACGGACCCGACUCCUACGGGAGGCAGCAGUAGGGAAUAUUGGUCAAUGGACGGAAGUCUGAACCAGCCAUUCCGCGUGCAGGAAGAAGGUCCUAUGGACUGUAAACUGCUUUUAGCAGAGAAGAAACGCCUUCAUUUAUGAGGGUCUGACGGUAUCUGCGGAAUAAGCACCGGCUAACUCCGUGCCAGCAGCCGCGGUAAUUCUCGCG
This 502-nucleotide ribosomal RNA is filed under the name uncultured bacterium. RNAcentral's name for it is "bacterial SSU rRNA". It matches the Rfam family "Bacterial small subunit ribosomal RNA", at positions 28 to 531 of the family's 1533-position model. The record is from RNAcentral.